Molecule: ribosomal RNA, 496 nt
Filed under: uncultured bacterium
Lineage: Bacteria
Description: bacterial SSU rRNA
Rfam family: Bacterial small subunit ribosomal RNA
Source: RNAcentral
AUUGAACGCUGGCGGCAUGCUUUACACAUGCAAGUCGAGCGGCAGCGCGGGGGCAACCCUGGCGGCGAGCGGCGGACGGGUGAGUAAUGCAUCGGAACGUAUCCCGUAGUGGGGGGACAACCCAGCGAAAGCUGGGCUAAUACCGCAUAUGCUCUACGGAGGAAAGUGGGGGACCCGCAAGGGCCUCACGCUAUGGGAGCGGCCGAUGUCCGAUUAGCUAGUUGGUGGGGUAAAGGCCUACCAAGGCGACGAUCGGUAGCUGGUCUGAGAGGAUGAUCAGCCACACUGGGACUGAGACACGGUCCAGACUCCUACGGGAGGCAGCAGUGGGGAAUCUUGCGCAAUGGGCGAAAGCCUGACGCAGCGACGCCGCGUGAGUGAUGAAGGCCUCGGGUUGUAAAGCUCUGUGGAGGGAGGACGGAAUAAGGGUUGGCGUAAUAUCCAGCUCGAUGACGGUAGUCCCUUUAGUCAAGCACCGGCUAACUCUGUGCCAGCA